Asterias rubens (European starfish) is the source of this 2241-nucleotide long non-coding RNA. RefSeq lists it as uncharacterized. The record is from RefSeq and is a predicted model, not a curated record. Lineage: Eukaryota; Metazoa; Echinodermata; Asteroidea; Forcipulatida; Asteriidae. The transcript has 7 exons.
UUGCGAGCUCCGUCAAGGUUGGUAAGAGAAGCUCUAUUGGAACUGAAUUACAUUGGAAAGAGGACUUGAUGUAUUGAAUUUGAGAACUGUUUAUAACUAUAGAGACCUUUUUGUUUUAGGUGACUGUUGUCAGAAUUUUGAAAGGGGACUUGCGGUAUUGAGUUUGAGAACUGUUUAUUUUUGACACUUUUUGCUGACUGUUGUCAGAACUUUUCAACUUUUAUCUGUGGAUUGUGUGGUGGUGUGGCUACAAGUCGUCCAAGUGAAAAGACAAGAACUUUCGUGACUUUAAAAGUGCCUUUUGGUUUUGUAUUCCAAAACUGAACACUUUUUGCUGACUGUUGUCAGAACUCUGAAACUUUUGUCUGUGGAUUGUGUGGUAUGGGCGUGGCUACAAGUCGUCCAAGUGACAAGGCAAGAACUUUAAAAGAGACUUUUGGUUUUGUGUGUCAAAACUGAACACAUUAAUUUGCUGACUGUUGUCAGAACUCUGAAACUUUUAUCUGUGGAUUGUGUGAUACGGGUGUGGCUACAAGUCGUCCAAGUGAAAAGGCAAUAACUUUUAAAGUGACUUUUGGUUUUGUGUUUCAAAACUGAUUUUUUUUUUGCUGACUGUUGUCAGAACUUAAAACUUUUAUAUGUGGAUUGUGUGGUAUGGGUGUAGCUACAAGUCGUCCAAGUGACAACACAAUAACUUUAAAAGAGACUUUUGGUUUUGUGUUUCAAAACUGAACACAUUUUUGCUGACUGUUGUCAGAACUCUCAAACUUUUAUCUGUGGAUUGUGUGAUACGGGUGUGGCUACAAGCAAGUCGACCAAGUGGUAAGACAAGAUCAUUAAGAUGACGUUAAGUGAUUGCACAUGGGCACACAACGUCUUUUAGACGUCUUAAAGUCAUUGUGUGCCCACUGGCAAUAUUGAGUAGAUGGAAGUUUGAACUUCCCCCCGCAGGCAGGGCAAGAAACUUGAUUUUCUUUAUUUUCACAGAUACCAGAGAUGAUGACCUACUCUUAAUUGAUGCAGCCUGGCACUGGCAGUUUGAACUUCAUGCAUGGCAAGAAUUUGGAACUUCUUCAUUUUGCGCAGACUGAUACCAGAGGUGAUACUCAUUAAUGCAGCCUGGCAGUUUGGACUUCAGGCCUGUCAAGGAAUUUGUUUUCUGGUGCAUGAUGGUGAUCUAAGUGAACCUGACGGUGAAUUACAUCGAUGUUCGUGGUCUUGACAAACACCUACAGCGAAGGAGCCUUAGAGGCACUGGACACUAUUGUUUUCUGGUGCAUGAUGGUGAUCUAAGUGAACCUGAAGGUGAAUUACAUUGAUGUUCGUGGUCUUGACAAACACCUACAGGGAAGGAGCCUUAGAGGCACUGGACACUAUUGAUUGGAAGCGAGUCUUGGAAGAUGACAUCAGCCUGAGAUGACAACAGAGAUGCACGGAAGACUCUGGCUGGAUUGAGGAUCAAGAGGACAAGAGCUAAGGACUGACUGGAGCAAGUCUAAUCAAGAUGUCAAUCAACCAUCAUCUGGAUCACAAGGGCGCUCUUUAUCCGGAAAUGGCAACCCCUCUGAUAUUUUGCUAAGCAUAGAAAUUCGUCGCCAAUUAGUAUUUUCUGCUAACAGCUUUAUGAAACUGGGCCUGCACCUUGGGCUGUAUCUGAAUUGGCGGCCAACGAUUUUGGCUGUGAGUCCUAUACUUCAAUGCAUGAUAAUACCAAAAUCUAGCCAGAGCCGUAGCUGUAGCCGCCAAUUCCGACACAGCCGUGUAGACCCAUAGGCCUUUUUGAAAUGACGGCUUCGACUUUGGAUUCGGCUCAGGCUAUAUAGCUUGGCUCCGUCGGUUGAUUUGACAAUUGCGCAUGCUUUGUGUAACUGCGCCUCAGGGCUUCAGACAAGAGAACGGAGCCUCAAGCCAAACCCAAAGCCGAAGCCGAGGUUUGGAAAAGGGAGCUAGAUAUUUAUCAAGUUGUGACCAUCUUGUUACCCAAUUUAUAUAACUAUAGCCAAACCGAGGCUAGGAAAAAAAAUAGUCUGGCCCCUCAAUCUGAAUGAUCUGAAUGAGAAUUAGACAUUUGAUAAUAAACUAGGAACUAGAUGGUCAUAUAAAUCAAGAUAAAAGUCUGGAUGAUCUAUGAUUAGUUUGUCUAAAUGUAAUUUGUAGUUUUUUAAGAUUUAUUUAAAGACACUGGACACUAUUGGUAAUCCAGUCUUCUCAGUGUAUCUCAACAUAUGCAUCAUAAAAAAA